Molecule: small nuclear RNA, 105 nt
Organism: Phyllostomus discolor (pale spear-nosed bat)
Lineage: Eukaryota; Metazoa; Chordata; Mammalia; Chiroptera; Phyllostomidae
Source: RefSeq, a predicted model, not a curated record
GUGCUCGCUUCAGCAGCACAUAUACUAAAAUUGGAACGACAUAGAGAUUAGCAUGGCCCCUGUGCAAGGAUGAUUAUUUCUUUGGAAGAAACAUAUACCUUACCA